AAGUCGUAACAAGGUUUCCGUAGGUGAACCUGCGGAAGGAUCAUUAACACGUAUCCAAACGUUAAAACCCCCCCCGUGAACCUUCAUCCUGCUCUUGUAACCCGCGUAGUUCGCAAUCUCUGAUAAAUCAUAGCCCGGAAAGUUGUAGUGAUUCAGAGACCUCUGGCUCCACAGUUUAAUGUGAAGCUCAAUGUAAUACAUUGGGUAAAAAAACCGAACAACUGUUAACAAUGGAUAUCUUGGUUCUC
This 248-nucleotide unclassified non-coding RNA is filed under the name fungal sp. Its description in RNAcentral is "partial internal transcribed spacer region". The stretch from base 1 to 46 matches the Rfam family "Eukaryotic small subunit ribosomal RNA", at positions 1786 to 1831 of the family's 1831-position model. Lineage: Eukaryota; Fungi. The record is from RNAcentral.